AUUGAACGCUGGCGGCAUGCUUUACACAUGCAAGUCGAACGGCAGCGCGGGCUUCGGCCUGGCGGCGAGUGGCGAACGGGUGAGUAAUGCAUCGGAACGUGCCCAGUAGUGGGGGAUAGCCCGGCGAAAGCCGGAUUAAUACCGCAUACGACCUGAGGGUGAAAGCGGGGGACCGAAAGGCCUCGCGCCAUUGGAGCGGCCGAUGUCGGAUUAGCUAGUUGGUGGGGUAAAGGCUUACCAAGGCGACGAUCCGUAGCUGGGCUGAGAGGACGACCAGCCACACUGGGACUGAGACACGGCCCAGACUCCUACGGGAGGCAGCAGGGGGGAAUUUUGGGCAAUGGGGGCAACCCUGAUCCAGCCAUGCCGCGUGAGGGAAGAAGGCCUUCUGGUUGUAAACCGCUUUUGUUCGGGAAGAAAUCCUCUGGGCUAAUACCCCGGGGGGAUGACGGUACCGGAAGAAUAAGCACCGGCUAACUACGUG
This 484-nucleotide ribosomal RNA is filed under the name uncultured bacterium. RNAcentral describes it as "partial 16S ribosomal RNA". It matches the Rfam family "Bacterial small subunit ribosomal RNA", at positions 28 to 507 of the family's 1533-position model. The record is from RNAcentral.